CGAUGAUAGCUUGCUAUCAGGCGUCGAGCGGCGGACGGGUGAGUAAUACUUAGGAAUCUACCUAGUAGUGGGGGAUAGCACGGGGAAACUCGUAUUAAUACCGCAUACGACCUACGGGAGAAAGGGGGCAGUUUACUGCUCUCGCUAUUAGAUGAGCCUAAGUCGGAUUAGCUAGAUGGUGGGGUAAAGGCCUACCAUGGCGACGAUCUGUAGCUGGUCUGAGAGGAUGAUCAGCCACACCGGGACUGAGACACGGCCCGGACUCCUACGGGAGGCAGCAGUGGGGAAUAUUGGACAAUGGGGGAAACCCUGAUCCAGCCAUGCCGCGUGUGUGAAGAAGGCCUUUUGGUUGUAAAGCACUUUAAGCAGUGAAGAAGACUCCGUGGUUAAUACCCACGGACGAUGACAUUAGCUGCAGAAUAAGCACCGGCUAACUCUGUGCCAGCAGCCGCGGUAAUACAGAGGGUGCAAGCGUUAAUCGGAAUUACUGGGCGUAAAGGGAGCGUAGGUGGCUCGAUAAGUCAGAUGUGAAAUCCCCGGGCUCAACCUGGGAACUGCAUCUGAUACUGUUGAGCUAGAGUAUGUGAGAGGAAGGUAGAAUUCCAGGUGUAGCGGUGAAAUGCGUAGAGAUCUGGAGGAAUACCGAUGGCGAAGGCAGCCUUCUGGCAUAAUACUGACACUGAGGCUCGAAAGCGUGGGUAGCAAACAGGAUUAGAUACCCUGGUAGUCCACGCCGUAAACGAUGUCUACUAGUCGUUGGGUCCCUUGAGGACUUAGUGACGCAGCUAACGCAAUAAGUAGACCGCCUGGGGAGUACGGCCGCAAGGUUAAAACUCAAAUGAAUUGACGGGGGCCCGCACAAGCGGUGGAGCAUGUGGUUUAAUUCGAUGCAACGCGAAGAACCUUACCUGGUCUUGACAUAUCUAGAAUCCUGCAGAGAUGCGGGAGUGCCUUCGGGAAUUAGAAUACAGGUGCUGCAUG
This 981-nucleotide ribosomal RNA is filed under the name uncultured Psychrobacter sp. RNAcentral describes it as "bacterial SSU rRNA". It matches the Rfam family "Bacterial small subunit ribosomal RNA", at positions 69 to 1047 of the family's 1533-position model. Lineage: Bacteria; Pseudomonadati; Pseudomonadota; Gammaproteobacteria; Moraxellales; Moraxellaceae. The record is from RNAcentral.